Molecule: ribosomal RNA, 406 nt
Filed under: uncultured bacterium
Lineage: Bacteria
Description: partial 16S ribosomal RNA
Rfam family: Bacterial small subunit ribosomal RNA
Source: RNAcentral
AUUGAACGCUGGCGGCAGGCCUAACACAUGCAAGUCGAACGAGUGGCGGACGGGUGAGUAAUGUCUGGGACACUGCCUGAUGGAGGGGGAUAACUACUGGAAACGGUAGCUAAUACCGCAUACCAUCAUAUGUGCCCAUGUGGGAUUAGCUUGUGGUGGGGGUAACGGCUCACCAAGGCGACGAUCCCUAGCUGGUCUGAGAGGAUGACAAGCAGAACUGGAAAUGAGACACGGUCCAGACACCUACGGGAGGCAGCAGUGGGGAAUAUUGCACAAUGGGCGCAAGCAUGAUGAAGACAUGACGCGUGUAUGAAGAAGGCCUUCGGGUUGUAAAGUACUGUCAGCGGGGAGGAGUUACCAGCAGAAGAAGCACCGGCUAACUCCGUGCCAGCCGCCGCGGUAAUAC